GUCACGAUACAGAGAAGAUUAGCAUGGCCCCUGCGCAAGGAUGAUACAGGAAGUUUUAAGCAAACAGGAAAACUG
Molecule: small nuclear RNA, 75 nt
Filed under: Chelonoidis abingdonii (Abingdon island giant tortoise)
Lineage: Eukaryota; Metazoa; Chordata; Testudines; Testudinidae
Source: RNAcentral